GAUGAAGAACGUAGCGAAAUGCGAUACUUGGUGUGAAUUGCAGAAUCCCGUGAACCAUCGAGUCUUUGAACGAAAGUUGCGCCUCAAGCCAUUAGGUUGAGGGCACGUCUGCCUGGGCGUCACAUAUCGUUGCCUGAUGCCAGUUUCCUCGUGAUGGGUGACUGUGCAGGGCGAAUGAUGGCUUCCCGUGAGCAUUGUUGCCUCAUGGUUGGUUGAAAAUUGAGUCCUUGGUAGGGAGCGCCGUGAUAGAUGGUGGUUGAGUGACGAACGAGACCCAAUCAUGUGAGACCCCUACCGAAUUUGGCCUUCAUGACCCACAUGCGUCUUUGGAACGCUCAUGACGAGACCUCAGGUCAGGCGGGGCUACCCGCUGAGUUUAAGCAUAUCAAUAAGCGGAGGA
Molecule: unclassified non-coding RNA, 400 nt
Filed under: soil metagenome
Description: partial contains 5.8S ribosomal RNA, internal transcribed spacer 2, and large subunit ribosomal RNA
Rfam family: 5.8S ribosomal RNA (bases 1-122)
Source: RNAcentral